RNAcentral lists this ribosomal RNA (827 nucleotides) under uncultured Nitrosospira sp. RNAcentral describes it as "bacterial SSU rRNA". It matches the Rfam family "Bacterial small subunit ribosomal RNA", at positions 21 to 844 of the family's 1533-position model. Lineage: Bacteria; Pseudomonadati; Pseudomonadota; Betaproteobacteria; Nitrosomonadales; Nitrosomonadaceae. The record is from RNAcentral.
GGCUCAGAUUGAACGCUGGCGGCAUGCUUUACACAUGCAAGUCGAACGGCAGCACGGGGGCAACCCUGGUGGCGAGUGGCGAACGGGUGAGGAAUACAUCGGAACGUGUCUUCAAGUGGGGGAUAACGCAUCGAAAGGUGUGCUAAUACCGCAUAAUCUCUGAGGAGAAAAGCAGGGGAUCGCAAGACCUUGCGCUUUUGGAGCGGCCGAUGCCUGAUUAGCUUGUUGGUGAGGUAAAAGCUUACCAAGGCUUCGAUCAGUAGCUGGUCUGAGAGGACGACCAGCCACACUGGGACUGAGACACGGCCCAGACUCCUACGGGAGGCAGCAGUGGGGAAUUUUGGACAAUGGGGGCAACCCUGAUCCAGCCAUGCCGCGUGAGUGAAGAAGGCCUUCGGGUUGUAAAGCUCUUUCAGCCGGAACGAAACGGUUACGGUUAAUACCCGUGACUACUGACGGUACCGGAAGAAGAAGCACCGGCUAACUACGUGCCAGCAGCCGCGGUAAUACGUAGGGUGCGAGCGUUAAUCGGAAUUACUGGGCGUAAAGCGUGCGCAGGUGGUUUUGUAAGUCAGAUGUGAAAUCCCCGGGCUUAACCUGGGAACUGCGUUUGAAACUACAAGGCUAGAGUGUGGCAGAGGGGGGUGGAAUUCCGCGUGUAGCAGUGAAAUGCGUAGAGAUGUGGAGGAACACCGAUGGCGAAGGCAGCCCCCUGGGUCAACACUGACGCUCAGGCACGAAAGCAUGNGGAGCAAACAGGAUUAGAUACCCUGGUAGUCCAUGCCCUAAACGAUGUCAACUAGUUGUCGGGCCUUUACGGGCUUGGU